UAUACAAUUGCCGCAUGCUUUCUAAUUUGAUUUCCAUGUGGUUGUGAUACGCUGGUAAAGGUAAACUAGCUUGAGGGUUAGUAUACUCAAAGGAGAAGAGCAGGUUAUAUUAUUAGCUCUGCUUACCAGGGCGUUUUGGCUUUCUUUUGUUUUUAAAAUCAAGACUUUCUCUUAUUUCAUACCUCCGUGGGAGUAUAGUUGCUUAGUAACCCUGCACUGACUGGGGGCUGUUGCUCUCGGAGCUAUACCCGGGAGGAACCUGCGUGUGAAUGAGACCGCUGUCAGCAAGCCUACACUCAGAGGAUUUACCCGGUGCAGAGAGCUCCAAGAGAACACCAGAGCCCCUGGUAUUCUGGUUCACUUGAAUUUGUCCUCCUGCCUAUUCCAUAUUUUUUUCACACAUACAAUCAUUUGUUUGCAGUCUGGAAAUAUAAAACCAUUCAAGAAAUGGAGGCCCAACUAUUGGCUUCCCGAUUAUUCUACAAACUCUAUGAAAUCCUUGUUCUUCGUUGCACAAUUAGCUGUGAAACAGACAGAGGUUACCUACAAUAAGGCUCUGUAACCCCUAUUGGAUCAAUUUACACGUGGUGUGGAAGAGGAGAACGAGUGGAAUGCUGCCAUAAUCAGUCUUGGGUGACCAGAGAGGAAGGAAUGGUCACCAACUUGAACAGACCCUUCUUGCUCUGUCCCAAGGACAAAGAAGAUGGCUGGUGCGUUCCCCUCUGUGAAGAAUUUGCUGGCAUUUGAAAGAAAUGGUCAGUAGAAGAUUCACUGGAUGGUGAAAUUCUUUGUGCCUGGGAUGUGUUCAGUCUGUUAUUCUGUUGCACCAGGAAAGAAGACCCAGGGUCUUAUUUCAUUCUGGAGCUUUUUGAAACUUUUUACUCUGUACUUUAAUUUUGGCAACCUUGGACUGAUGGGGUUUGUAGAUAUUAAUUAUCAAAUUGUUAUGUAUUAGCUGAUAUUCUUUCAAUUCAAUAAGUAUUUUAAAUCCUUUGUGGUGUCCAUUGAAUAUGUUACCAGGAAACUGAAAUAAUAUUUUCAGUCUUCCUCUUUUUUCUCCACAAAAUAGAAACAAGAAAACUAUACAUAGCUGAUAGUUAUUUUCUCUCAGAAAUUCAUAUAUAUUAUUUUUAAGGGCUUCUGUAAAUAUUUGAACUGAAUGCAAUUUAAAAAAUAAAAAUCUAAAGACCAAUACAAUUUUAUCUCAUAAGAUUUUUAUUUUUGACCUUUAAGUCAAGAAUUAGUAUCUCCAUAUUAGCGGCAAAUGGAUUUAGUUACCUAUAUCUGAUUCCAUGUUAAUGAUAUUAAACCCAACAUAGAAAUAUUGCAAUUGUGGGUGUGGUUUUUACCUAAGUAUUCCCAGGAGCAUUUGGGACCAGGCAGAAUAUGGAAAUGUUAAUGGUUACAGCUCAAGUGCUAAAGGUGAGCCUAUAAUUAACUAAAUCAAAGUUCAGUGAAAUAAACUCAAGAUAUUUAUGGAUGUUAAUUAGUGACCCUAAUGGAUCCACUUUACUUACUUGCAGGAUAAUUGGAGUAUAGCAGUGUAAGGAGAGGUUUCAGUAGAAAGAAGCAACCUACUGUUAAAUACCAGUUGUUUACUUUGCUAAUGGUUAAACACUGCUCUAACAUAAAGGCAAAAAAAUAUUUGCUGUGUUUUCAUUUUUUCUGUUUAGGCUUAAAGGAAAUGUAAGUAGCUGUAGUAUUGUGAUAGAGGAGACACCUAAAGUCAUCAGUUUUAGGUAAAAGGCUAGUGAAGCUACUCCUGAAACUUUGCCUUGGAGGGGCUACAAAUUACUAUUAUCCUUCUGAUUCCAGUUGUGUGUAUUAUAAGUUUAUUUUCUGCAACUUCGAGGACUUGAAAUUUUCCUUAAUGCAUUUGUUCAACUUCUUUCCAAGAAAAUUAUGCUAUUAAUUACUCAGAUCUUUAUUUGUAUUUAACUUAUUAAAUAUAUGUGUUAGGAAUUGCUUAGUAGAGUAUUAUUUAUGGUUACAUAAGAAAAACACUGCUAAUAAAUAUAACUAGGAAAGAGAGAAGGCUGCUGGGAUUCAUCAUAUACAGCAUAUAGUCAAGGUAUUGUAAAAGUAGUCAUUUAUCAUAUGUGACUGUAUUUACAUUUUUAAUAUUUGUAUUGUCCAGAAGGAUUUUCUUGCAAAAGAGUGGUAAAAGAGGCCAAUAAUCAUUAAUAUAACUAGAUAAGUUCCUUGCAGAAAGGCAGAAAAAUGCUUGAGAAACAUCAUAUGCUAAAUUUUCUAGGAAUUGUAGAUAGCUGUGGAUAGCUGGGUUUCAGCCAAUUUUUGACAGAAUAUAAAUAAUUUGAUAUAUAUGGAAGAAACUUUGGAAAAGUUCAGAUGAGCUUUUCCUUGGAGACGUGACUGCACAAAGCUGUGGUGCUGAUUAUAGUUCAUUCAGUGAAAACAGAUCCCCCCUUCCCAGCUUUAUACUCCAGUAGUAAUUACAUGGGCUCCCAGAAUGGGGCUAAAAACGAGGCCUCUUUUUAUACAGUAACUUAGCUGUCACAUCUGUGGCAGAGAAUAGAGAAAAUCAUUGAUGCGAGUCUGUAACAGGGUUCAAACACUUUUCAGGUUCACCAGUGUUUUUAUUUUCCAAUAGAAUUUCGUUUGACUCCUGCCUACACUUCUAUUGUUAUCUCUCACUUCUGCUAGCCUCAGCCUGCUUUCUACAUAUACUCCACUCAAAAGAUGCUGGAGCUAUUCUGAAACGCGUUUAUACAAUUAUUCACUGACCACAUCUGUGUCUACACAUGCAGUAUGAAGUAAAGAUUUCUCUCAAUUAUAUUCAGACUCUAACAAAAUGGCAAAUUAGUUUGUUAGAAUAACCACUUAAUAACUUCGUUCUGCUCGUAUGUGUGAAUUUAAGUGCAAAUAAAAUUGAUGCCUGAGAAACGUUUUGUGGAAGGAACAUUUUGUGGGAGAUGAUUGCCAGGAAGGAUUACUUAAGUGUUUCCCAGCAUUUAUACAUUAAACGCACAGAUGCUGGAUUCUGA
Macaca mulatta (Rhesus monkey) is the source of this 3005-nucleotide non-coding RNA. The record is from RefSeq and is a predicted model, not a curated record. NCBI's taxonomy places the organism in Eukaryota, Metazoa, Chordata, Mammalia, Primates, Cercopithecidae.